AACGAACGCUGGCGGCAUGCCUAACACAUGCAAGUCGAACGAGACCUUCGGGUAUAGUGGCGCACGGGUGCGUAACGCGUGGGAACCUGCCCUUAGGUUCGGAAUAACUCCCCGAAAGGGGUGAUAAUACCGGAUAAUGUCUUCGGACCAAAGAUUUAUCGCCUUUGGAUGGGCCCGCGUUGGAUUAGCUAGUUGGUAGGGUAAAAGCCUACCAAGGCGACGAUUCAUAGCUGGUCUGAGAGGAUGAUCAGCCACACUGGGACUGAGACACGGCCCAGACUCCUACGCGAGGCAGCAGUGGUGAAUAUUGGACAAUGGGCGAAAGCCUGAUCCAGCAAUGCCGCGUGAGUGAUGAAGGCCUUAGGGUUGUAAAGCUCUUUUACCCGGGAUGAUAAUGACAGUACCGGGAGAAUAAGCUCCGGCUAACUCCGUG
RNAcentral lists this ribosomal RNA (433 nucleotides) under uncultured bacterium. RNAcentral describes it as "partial 16S ribosomal RNA". It matches the Rfam family "Bacterial small subunit ribosomal RNA", at positions 29 to 507 of the family's 1533-position model. The record is from RNAcentral.